RNAcentral lists this transfer RNA (73 nucleotides) under Cyphomyrmex costatus. It matches the Rfam family "tRNA". Rfam says of the family: Transfer RNA (tRNA) molecules are approximately 80 nucleotides in length. Their secondary structure includes four short double-helical elements and three loops (D, anti-codon, and T loops). The record is from Rfam by way of RNAcentral. Lineage: Eukaryota; Metazoa; Arthropoda; Insecta; Hymenoptera; Formicidae.
GCCUUGAUAGUGUAACUGGUAAGGACACUCGCAUGGAAUGUAAGAUAUCCGGGUUCGACUCCCGGCCGAGGUA